UCUCUUCCGUCCUCUCCCGAACAGCCACCGACGUUCCCGAUCUCUUCUUCCCUUUCGCCGUCCACUGUUCUCCGACGCCCCUACCUACAGCCGUCGCACGCUGAAGCCCUUCCUCAUCGUCGUCUUGUGCCUUUCGACAGAGUCUGGUAGCUCGUGUAAGCCUUUGAGCCUCUCCCUCUCCUUUUCGCUCGUUUCGUCGACCGUCGGCCAUCUCUGCCCUCAGCCGAUCGUUAUCGACCGCCCCGACCUCGUCCGGCCAUGUACGCCCAGUCACCGCCGUCACAGAGCCUUUCGCUUCCACCUUAAACCCGCUUCGUGCUGUACACCUGACCCGAGCCAUCCUCUCUUUCUAUCCGACCCGUGAACCGAGCCAUAAACUAAGUUGCGAACCAAGUCGUUGAGUCGAGCCAAGUAGCGAGCUGCAAGCCGAGCCGAGCCACGAAUCAAGAGCUGAGCUGAGUCAAGCCACGAGUCGAAGACUAACUGAGCCGCGAGCCGAGAGCUGAGCCGACUCGAGCUGCGAGCCGAGGAUUGAGCCGAGCUGAGUCGAGUCGUUUUUCUAAGCCAAUCUCCCGGUUCACCGAGCCGCAUAAGUCGUUCUGUCCGUGCUGAGUCUCUGUGAGUUUUGGUGUUAGCGAGGUGACGCUCAGGUUCUGAGGUGUUACGGCAAGUGUAGUUGGAGCCAACUCUCCUCUAUUUGGGUGGAUUCGUUUGGACGUCGAAUUGAAAAAGGAUUUUAGCUACAGUUCAGGUAAGGGUAUGACGAGGGGCAGACCGGUGAGGGGCAAGAAGGAUGCAUGAAGGCCAUAUGGCGCGUCUAGUUUCUUUAUGCUUCUGCUGACAUAUUUGGAAAUGCCACCAAGGAAAGGUGCGCAUAAGAGUGGUCGAGGAGGCCGGACGUGUCCAACCUGAAGUACAACCUGUAGCUCAAGCUACCGACCCUGCUGCUCCAAUUACUCAUGCGGACCUCGCUGCUAUGGAGCAGAGGUUCAGGGAUUUGAUUAUGCAGAUGUGGGAGCAGCACCAGCCUGCCCCACCAGCUUCUGCUCCAGCUUCACUGGUACCCCAGGUCGUGUCGAAUCAGUUGUCGGCAGAGGCCAAACAUUUGAGUGAUUUCAAAAAGUACAACCUCACGAUAUUCGAUGGGUCUUUGGAGGACCCCACCAAGGCUCAGAUGUGGUUAUCUUCUUUGGAGACCAUAUUUCAGUAUAUGAAGUGCCCUCAGGAUCAGAAAGUUCAGUGCACCGUUUUCAUGUUGACAGACAGAGGUACUGCCUGGUGGGAGACGGCAGAGAGGAUGCUAGGGGGUGACGUGGGUCAGAUUAAUUGGGAACAGUUCAAGGAGAGUUUCUAUGCAAAAUUCUUCUCUGCCAGUUUGUUUUGACGAUUUUUGUGAAUUAUAUUUUGGAACUCUUGGGAACGUAAUUAAAAAGAGGGCCUGAAACUGCUUUUUUGAUAUUUUAAAUGUUUUUAAUGAAUCGUAAUCGGUCUUUUAUGAGCUUGUGUGUUUUACUGUCGAGUCUUAGUAGUACGUAGUGACCUCAGCUUAGUCCGGAAGGUUGGGUCGUUACAUCAAAAGAGAAAGAGAUCAAAAGAGAGAGGUUACUCUAAGAUUUUGAUAAGGAAAAGUAUGAAUUAAGUGUUUUGUUGUUGAAGAAUCACUAGGUGAGAAUAAAAUCAUUAGGGAGCUAGGUUUUCUAAAGAAAGGGACUUGAGUUACGUUUUCUAAAGCUUUCUACUUAAUGUCUUAUU
This is a long non-coding RNA of Cucumis melo (muskmelon), 1752 nucleotides long. RefSeq lists it as uncharacterized. The transcript is spliced from 5 exons. Lineage: Eukaryota; Viridiplantae; Streptophyta; Magnoliopsida; Cucurbitales; Cucurbitaceae. The record is from RefSeq and is a predicted model, not a curated record.